RNAcentral lists this ribosomal RNA (521 nucleotides) under uncultured bacterium. Its description in RNAcentral is "partial 16S ribosomal RNA". It matches the Rfam family "Bacterial small subunit ribosomal RNA", at positions 355 to 885 of the family's 1533-position model. The record is from RNAcentral.
UGGGGAAUAUUGCACAAUGGGCGAAAGCCUGAUGCAGCGACGCCGCGUGCGGGAUGAAGGCCUUCGGGUUGUAAACCGCUUUUAAUUGGGAGCAAGCGAGAGUGAGUGUACCUUUUGAAUAAGCACCGGCUAACUACGUGCCAGCAGCCGCGGUAAUACGUAGGGUGCAAGCGUUAUCCGGAAUUAUUGGGCGUAAAGAGCUCGUAGGCGGUUUGUCACGCCUGGUGUGAAAGUCCAUCGCUUAACGGUGGAUCUGCGCCGGGUACGGGCAGGCUAGAGUGCAGUAGGGGAGAUUGGAAUUCCCGGUGUAACGGUGGAAUGUGUAGAUAUCGGGAAGAACACCAAUGGCGAAGGCAGAUCUCUGGGCUGUUACUGACGCUGAGGAGCGAAAGCAUGGGGAGCGAACAGGAUUAGAUACCCUGGUAGUCCAUGCCGUAAAACGGUGGAUGCUGGAUGUGGGACCCUUCCACGGGUUCCGUGUCGGAGCUAACGCGUUAAGCAUCCCGCCUGGGGGAGUACGG